Molecule: ribosomal RNA, 774 nt
Filed under: Bacillus amyloliquefaciens
Lineage: Bacteria; Bacillati; Bacillota; Bacilli; Caryophanales; Bacillaceae
Description: bacterial SSU rRNA
Rfam family: Bacterial small subunit ribosomal RNA
Source: RNAcentral
GACGGGCUGCUUAAUACAUGCAAGUCGAGCGGACAGAUGGGAGCUUGCUCCCUGAUGUUAGCGGCGGACGGGUGAGUAACACGUGGGUAACCUGCCUGUAAGACUGGGAUAACUCCGGGAAACCGGGGCUAAUACCGGAUGGUUGUCUGAACCGCAUGGUUCAGACAUAAAAGGUGGCUUCGGCUACCACUUACAGAUGGACCCGCGGCGCAUUAGCUAGUUGGUGAGGUAACGGCUCACCAAGGCGACGAUGCGUAGCCGACCUGAGAGGGUGAUCGGCCACACUGGGACUGAGACACGGCCCAGACUCCUACGGGAGGCAGCAGUAGGGAAUCUUCCGCAAUGGACGAAAGUCUGACGGAGCAACGCCGCGUGAGUGAUGAAGGUUUUCGGAUCGUAAAGCUCUGUUGUUAGGGAAGAACAAGUGCCGUUCAAAUAGGGCGGCACCUUGACGGUACCUAACCAGAAAGCCACGGCUAACUACGUGCCAGCAGCCGCGGUAAUACGUAGGUGGCAAGCGUUGUCCGGAAUUAUUGGGCGUAAAGGGCUCGCAGGCGGUUUCUUAAGUCUGAUGUGAAAGCCCCCGGCUCAACCGGGGAGGGUCAUUGGAAACUGGGGAACUUGAGUGCAGAAGAGGAGAGUGGAAUUCCACGUGUAGCGGUGAAAUGCGUAGAGAUGUGGAGGAACACCAGUGGCGAACGCGACUCUCUGGUCUGUAACUGACGCUGAGGAGCGAAAGCGUGGGAGCGAACAGGAUUAGAACCGGGUUAGCCA